Molecule: ribosomal RNA, 250 nt
Filed under: uncultured prokaryote
Description: partial 16S ribosomal RNA
Rfam family: Bacterial small subunit ribosomal RNA
Source: RNAcentral
UACGUAGGGGGCAAGCGUUAUCCGGAAUUGUUGGGCGUAAAGAGUGCGUAGGUGGUUUCUUAAGCGCAGGGUUUAAUCUAGCGGCUCAACCGCUUCUCGCCCUGCGAACUGGGAGACUUGAGUGCAGGAGGGGAAAGCGGAAUUCCUAGUGUAGCGGUGAAAUGCGUAGAUAUUAGGAGAAACACCAGCGGCGAAGGCGGCUUUCUGGACUGUAACUGACACUGAGGCACGAAAGCGUGGGGAGCAAACA